GGAAGGGUGAGAACCUUCGAUUAAGGUUCGACUCGAGCGAAAGCGAGAGAACGUUGCCAACGGCAACGGCCCGUAGGGUGAGGAGCGAAGCGACGAAUAAUCCUUCCACCACCAUCA
This 117-nucleotide small RNA is filed under the name Salmonella enterica subsp. enterica serovar Tennessee. Its description in RNAcentral is "partial RtT RNA". It matches the Rfam family "RtT RNA", at positions 16 to 130 of the family's 130-position model. From Rfam's summary of the family: This family represents a bacterial cis-regulatory element known as RtT RNA. The exact function of RtT is unknown although it is thought that it may be involved in changing the cellular response in relation to amino acid starvation. The record is from RNAcentral. Lineage: Bacteria; Pseudomonadati; Pseudomonadota; Gammaproteobacteria; Enterobacterales; Enterobacteriaceae.